CAUUAGUUGUUCUUUACCAUAUUUUGAACCAAUUUACAUUUGCAUUCAUAUUUGAGUGCCAUUUAUAAACAAACAUCACAAUUAAUUUUUUUUUUGUAUCAUACCAUAAACCAAAUUUCAUUUAAAUCAUAAACCAUGCGUACUUUUAUUUUUAAUAAAGUCCAUAAAAAUUAAGUUUAUUUCCUUUACAUAUCAUCAUACAAUCAUCUUAAUACCAUGUUAUA
RNAcentral lists this long non-coding RNA (224 nucleotides) under Lathyrus oleraceus (garden pea). RNAcentral describes it as "Pisum sativum (pea) long non-coding RNA (PSAT_LNC010933)". Lineage: Eukaryota; Viridiplantae; Streptophyta; Magnoliopsida; Fabales; Fabaceae. The record is from RNAcentral.